CUGAUUAUAGGGUUACAAUGAAAAAAAUGGAGUGGAACUGGUUUCAAGGUUGAGUUGGAGGGGGUUUGAGAUUUUUUCUCCAUUGGCCCAGUGAAGUGCAUCCAAACCAUUGCCUGGGACAAGCAGAGCUGAAUGGAUGAGACCAACUUUGUGUUCAUCAGGAACAGCAGUCCUCCAGGUGUCAUUUCUAAUAAAUAAACACUCAGGGACUUUGUUUCUGAAAGACCACUGUACGGAGAUGCCUGUUGGUACACAGACAGCUACACUGGCAACAGAAUCAUCCCCUGGCUCUACUUGUCUAUAAACCCUGACAUGGCCAGCAGCAAUUCCAGAUUCCAACUAUUCCAGAUGGCACCUAGUGACGUCAGGAGAGACAUACGACAUGUGAUGUACAGGUCUGAACAAACAGGACAACCCACUGCCUUGUCUCACCCACACAGCAAUGUUCCUUCAGUUGUGUGAUACAGGCAGUGAGCAGCACUGUGUUCUCUGGCAGGACCACGCUGUGAG
Long non-coding RNA from Esox lucius (northern pike), 510 nucleotides. Lineage: Eukaryota; Metazoa; Chordata; Actinopteri; Esociformes; Esocidae. The record is from Ensembl.